This 484-nucleotide ribosomal RNA is filed under the name uncultured bacterium. RNAcentral describes it as "partial 16S ribosomal RNA". It matches the Rfam family "Bacterial small subunit ribosomal RNA", at positions 30 to 507 of the family's 1533-position model. The record is from RNAcentral.
AUUGAACGCUGGCGGCAGGCCUAACACAUGCAAGUCGAGCGGAUGAAGGGAGCUUGCUCCUGGAUUCAGCGGCGGACGGGUGAGUAAUGCCUAGGAAUCUGCCUGGUAGUGGGGGAUAACGUCCGGAAACGGGCGCUAAUACCGCAUACGUCCUGAGGGAGAAAGUGGGGGAUCUUCGGACCUCACGCUAUCAGAUGAGCCUAGGUCGGAUUAGCUAGUUGGUGGGGUAAAGGCCUACCAAGGCGACGAUCCGUAACUGGUCUGAGAGGAUGAUCAGUCACACUGGAACUGAGACACGGUCCAGACUCCUAUGGGAGGCAGCAGCGGGGAAUAUUGGACAAUGGGCGAAAGCCUGAUCCAGCCAUGCCGCGUGUGUGAAGAAGGUCUUCGGAUUGUAAAGCACUUUAAGUUGGGAGGAAGGGCAGUAAGUUAAUACCUUGCUGUUUUGACGUUACCAACAGAAUAAGCACCGGCUAACUUCGUG